This 363-nucleotide ribosomal RNA is filed under the name Absconditella sp. Its description in RNAcentral is "SSU rRNA". It matches the Rfam family "Bacterial small subunit ribosomal RNA", at positions 791 to 1210 of the family's 1533-position model. The record is from RNAcentral. Lineage: Eukaryota; Fungi; Ascomycota; Lecanoromycetes; Ostropales; Stictidaceae.
UAGUCCGAGCAGACAAUGAUGAAUGUCAUAUGUAAGUAAAUAUUUAUAUAUAAAUGAAAGUGUAAGCAUUCCACCUCAAGAGUAAUGCGGCAACGCAUAAACUGAAAUCAUUAGACCGUUUUUGAAACCAGUAGUGAAGUAUGUUAUUUAAUUUGACAAUCCACGGAAAACCUUACCACAAUUUGAAUAUAUAUAUAUUAUAUAUACAAGAGUUGCACGGCUGUCUUAAGUUAAUGUCGUGAGACUUUGGUUAGUUCCAAUAAAUUGACGUAAACCCUUAUUUUAUUUAUGAAUAAAAUAGUUCUCCACUAUAUUGGAUAAGAUAACAGGGAUUAAGACAAGUCAUCAUGGCCCGAACAUUGU